This 492-nucleotide ribosomal RNA is filed under the name uncultured bacterium. RNAcentral describes it as "partial 16S ribosomal RNA". It matches the Rfam family "Bacterial small subunit ribosomal RNA", at positions 30 to 507 of the family's 1533-position model. The record is from RNAcentral.
AUUGAACGCUGGCGGUAUGCCUAACACAUGCAAGUCGAACGGCAGCACAGUAAUAGCUUGCUCUUACGGUGGGCGACUGGCGGACGGUUGAUGGAUACAUCGGAAUCUACUUUUUGUUGGGGGCUAACGUAGGGAAACUUACGCUAAUACCGCAUACGACCUACGGGUGAAAGCAUCGGAUCUUCGGACCUUGCGCGAUUGAAUGAGCCGAUGUCGGAUUAGCUAGUUGGCGGGGUAAAGGCCCACCAAGGCGACGAUCCGUAGCUGGUCUGAGAGGAUGAUCAGCCACACUGGAACUGAGACACGGUCCAGACUCCUACGGGAGGCAGCAGUGGGGAAUAUUGGACAAUGGGCGCAAGCCUGAUCCAGCCAUACCGCGUGGGUGAAGAAGGCCUUCGGGUUGUAAAGCCCUUUUGGUGGGAAAGAAAAGCAGCAGGUUAAUACCCCGCUGUUCUGACGGUACCCAAAGAAGAAGCACCGGCUAACUUCGUG